CAUUAUGAACGCUAGCGACAGGCUUAACACAUGCAAGUCGAGGGGCAGCACAGGUAGCAAUACCGGGUGGCGACCGGCGCACGGGUGAGUAACGCGUAUGCAACUUGCCUAUCAGAGGGGGAUAACCCGGCGAAAGUCGGACUAAUACCGCAUGAAGCAGGGAUCCCGCAUGGGAAUAUUUGCUAAAGAUUCAUCGCUGAUAGAUAGGCAUGCGUUCCAUUAGGCAGUUGGCGGGGUAACGGCCCACCAAACCGACGAUGGAUAGGGGUUCUGAGAGGAAGGUCCCCCACAUUGGUACUGAGACACGGACCAAACUCCUACGGGAGGCAGCAGUGAGGAAUAUUGGUCAAUGGCCGAGAGGCUGAACCAGCCAAGUCGCGUGAGGGAUGAAGGUUCUAUGGAUCGUAAACCUCUUUUAUAAGGGAAUAAAGUGCGGGACGUGUCCCGUUUUGUAUGUACCUUAUGAAUAAGGAUCGGCUAACUCCGUGCCAGCAGCCGCGGUAAUACGGAGGAUCCGAGCGUUAUCCGGAUUUAUUGGGUUUAAAGGGUGCGUAGGCGGCCUUUUAAGUCAGCGGUGAAAGUCUGUGGCUCAACCAUAGAAUUGCCGUUGAAACUGGGGGGCUUGAGUAUGUUUGAGGCAGGCGGAAUGCGUGGUGUAGCGGUGAAAUGCAUAGAUAUCACGCAGAACCCCGAUUGCGAAGGCAGCCUGCCAAGCCAUGACUGACGCUGAUGCACGAAAGCGUGGGGAUCAAACAGGAUUAGAUACCCUGGUAGUCCACGCAGUAAACGAUGAUCACUAGCUGUUUGCGGUACACUGUAAGCGGCACAGCGAAAGCGUUAAGUGAUCCACCUGGGGAGUACGCCGGCAACGGUGAAACUCAAAGGAAUUGACGGGGGCCCGCACAAGCGGAGGAACAUGUGGUUUAAUUCGAUGAUACGCGAGGAACCUUACCCGGGUUUGAACGCAUUCGGACCGAGGUGGAAACACCUUUUCUAGCAAUAGCCGUUUGCGAGGUGCUGCAUGGUUGUCGUCAGCUCGUGCCGUGAGGUGUCGGCUUAAGUGCCAUAACGAGCGCAACCCUUGCCACUAGUUACUAACAGGUGAUGCUGAGGACUCUGGUGGGACUGCCAGCGUAAGCUGCGAGGAAGGCGGGGAUGACGUCAAAUCAGCACGGCCCUUACAUCCGGGGCGACACACGUGUUACAAUGGCGUGGACAAAGGGAAGCCACCUGGCGACAGGGAGCGAAUCCCCAAACCACGUCUCAGUUCGGAUCGGAGUCUGCAACCCGACUCCGUGAAGCUGGAUUCGCUAGUAAUCGCGCAUCAGCCAUGGCGCGGUGAAUACGUUCCCGGGCCUUGUACACACCGCCCGUCAAGCCAUGGGAGCCGGGGGUACCUGAAGUCCGUAACCGCGAGGAUCGGCCUAGGGUAA
RNAcentral lists this ribosomal RNA (1433 nucleotides) under uncultured organism. Its description in RNAcentral is "SSU rRNA". It matches the Rfam family "Bacterial small subunit ribosomal RNA". The record is from RNAcentral.